UAUUAGAAGUAGGAUGAAGAAAACCUAAUGACUGUAAUUUUAUAUAAAUAUGUUUUGCACUUGGUUGUGAGUAAUCUGUACAGAUCGAUUAUUGAGAGCCGUGUUUAAAUGAAGAUUUACGGCUCACAGACUAAGGGCAUUCCAUGUUAUUGUAGCUUCUAAAGGUCUACUGCUAUGAAAUGAUUUUCUUAGUUUUAAAGUAUUUACUUGUUAUGUAGAGUAUUAGUUCGACAUGGAAUUUUCAAGCAAGCUCAAUUAAACUGGAGUGUUUAUA
Schizosaccharomyces pombe (fission yeast) is the source of this 274-nucleotide non-coding RNA. Lineage: Eukaryota; Fungi; Ascomycota; Schizosaccharomycetes; Schizosaccharomycetales; Schizosaccharomycetaceae. The record is from the annotation of a GenBank genome assembly.